Molecule: long non-coding RNA, 1037 nt
Filed under: Homo sapiens (human)
Lineage: Eukaryota; Metazoa; Chordata; Mammalia; Primates; Hominidae
Description: HSALNT0329087
Source: RNAcentral
AACUAUUAAAAUGUUAAAUGUAAACAGACUCUUAUGUUGCCUUAAAUAAAUGCCUUCCUUAAAAAACAAAAACAAAAACAACUGUUUCUCAAAUUAAUUUUCCCAGAUUCAUAGAUUUCUCUCCUUAACCUGAUAAUUGGCCAAACAGUAUUUACUCCUAAAUACUGUUUCUAAAUUCUUGUGUUCAGCGCACUGGGAUGCAUGAGGGUAUAUUUUUUAAGGCACAAAGAAAAUUUGUUUGCCUGUGAUCUCACUAAUAGGUGUUUAUUGCCCUCCUGGAGCCACAGUUGCUGUGUCAUCUCAAGGCUGGAAUUCUGGAUGAAGAGGAGGAGCUUUUUUGGGGUAGAACCUGAAGGAUGGGGAUGGGGCAUUCAUUUAUUCAUAAAAUUAUAUGCUCUCCUUGGACAUAUAGAAAAAAUCGUGUAUGGCAGAUGAACCUGACAGCAAUAACAUAAGUGUAUCCCAAGAAUGACACUGUAUGGCAGAUGAACCUGACAGCAACAAGUUAAGCAUACCCUGAGAAUGACCAUAUGGUCUAAGAAGAAUGCAUAUUCAGAGUUGGGAGCUACAGAAUCUGGGUGUGGCCAACCUGGAGAUUCAUUCCUUGUCUAUGAGGGACAUCUGAGCCUUCAGCCCAUCCUGUGGAAUGCAGGCAAUACAGGGGACCAAGGCCCAUUGUUUUAGAUUAAAUGAAGAUUUCCAAGUGGAGGUUGCUAAGUGAAAAUGCUGUAUAAAUUGCAUGCUUUUAAUAAGUGGUUGCAGUUCUCCUCUCCAGCCCACUGCCACUGGACCACCCCUGUAUGUAAGUUUCCUCAACAAACCCUAUGUAUUCUUCACUGGCUCUAGGUCUCUUCUUGGGCCUCUUAAACAUGGUGCGGUUUCUGCUGAAGUCAUAGGGGUCCAGCAUGUCAAAGCGUCAAAUCAGCAUUGUAAUCUAAAGACUUUUCUCACCCAAUCCUAUUCCACAUCCCUACUCCCACCUUGCUUUUUGCCUCUACAGUCACAAUAAAGCUCUCCCAGUCUUACUUCUGACUCAG